This 864-nucleotide ribosomal RNA is filed under the name Hapalocystis occidentalis. RNAcentral's name for it is "LSU rRNA". It matches the Rfam family "Eukaryotic large subunit ribosomal RNA", at positions 49 to 945 of the family's 3401-position model. Lineage: Eukaryota; Fungi; Ascomycota; Sordariomycetes; Diaporthales; Sydowiellaceae. The record is from RNAcentral.
AGCGGAGGAAAAGAAACCAACAGGGAUUGCCCUAGUAACGGCGAGUGAAGCGGCAACAGCUCAAAUUUGAAAUCUGGCCUCGGGCCCGAGUUGUAAUUUGCAGAGGAUGCUUUUGGCGCGGUGCCUUCCGAGUUCCCUGGAACGGGACGCCACAGAGGGUGAGAGCCCCGUAUGGUCGGACACCAAGCCUUUGCAAAGCUCCUUCGACGAGUCGAGUAGUUUGGGAAUGCUGCUCAAAAUGGGAGGUAAAUCUCUUCUAAAGCUAAAUACCGGCCAGAGACCGAUAGCGCACAAGUAGAGUGAUCGAAAGAUGAAAAGCACCUUGAAAAGGGGGUUAAACAGUACGUGAAAUUGUUGAAAGGGAAGGGCUCGUGACCAGACUUGUGCCAGGCGGCUCAUCCGGCGUUCUCGUCGGUGCACUCCGCCUGGCUCAGGCCAGCAUCGGUUCUUGCCGGGGGAUAAGAGCUUCGGGAACGUGGCCCCCUUCGGGGGUGUUAUAGCCCGUUGCACGAUGCCCUGGCGGGGACCGAGGUUCGCGCUCCGCAAGGAUGCUGGCGUAAUGGUCACCAACCACCCGUCUUGAAACACGGACCAAGGAGUCGUCCAUCAGAGCGAGCGUUUGGGUGUAAAACCCGCACGCGUAAUGAAAGUGAACGCAGGUGAGAGCUUCGGCGCAUCAUCGACCGAUCCUGAUGUCUUCGGAUGGAUUUGAGUAAGAGUUUUGCUGGACGGACCCGAAAGACAGUGAACUAUGCUUGUAUAGGGUGAAGCCAGAGGAAACUCUGGUGGAGGCUCGCAGCGGUUCUGACGUGCAAAUCGAUCGUCAAAUAUGAGCAUGGGGGCGAAAGACUAAUCGAACUGUCU